UACGGGAGGCAGCAGUGGGGAAUAUUGCACAAUGGGCGCAAGCCUGAUGCAGCCAUGCCGCGUGUAUGAAGAAGGCCUUCGGGUUGUAAAGUACUUUCAGUCGUGAGGAAGGUGUUAAGGUUAAUAACCUUAGCAAUUGACGUUAGCGACAGAAGAAGCACCGGCUAACUCCGUGCCAGCAGCCGCGGUAAUACGGAGGGUGCGAGCGUUAAUCGGAAUUACUGGGCGUAAAGGGCACGCAGGCGGUUAAUUAAGUUGGAUGUGAAAUCCCCGGGCUUAACCUGGGAAUGGCAUUCAAGACUGGUUAGCUAGAGUCUUGUAGAGGGGGUAGAAUUCCAUGUGUAGCGGUGAAAUGCGUAGAGAUGUGGAGGAAUACCGGUGGCGAAGGCGGCCCCUGGGACAAAGGACUGACGCUCAUGUGCGAAAGCGUGGGGAGCGAAACAGGAUUUAGAUACC
This 456-nucleotide ribosomal RNA is filed under the name uncultured bacterium. RNAcentral's name for it is "bacterial SSU rRNA". It matches the Rfam family "Bacterial small subunit ribosomal RNA", at positions 340 to 786 of the family's 1533-position model. The record is from RNAcentral.